Orientia tsutsugamushi is the source of this 74-nucleotide non-coding RNA. The record is from Rfam. NCBI's taxonomy places the organism in Bacteria, Pseudomonadati, Pseudomonadota, Alphaproteobacteria, Rickettsiales, Rickettsiaceae.
UUGAGCCGUAUGCGGAGUAAUUCGCUUGUACGAUUCUUUGGGAGGAAAAGCGCUCCUGCGCUUACCUACCCGCU